This 2627-nucleotide long non-coding RNA is filed under the name Sus scrofa (pig). RNAcentral's name for it is "lncRNA (ENSSSCG00055018975.1)". The record is from RNAcentral. Lineage: Eukaryota; Metazoa; Chordata; Mammalia; Artiodactyla; Suidae.
AUACAGGGAAGUAGAGUGUGAGAUGGGAGUGAGCCCCAGAAGAGACAUCUAAAACAGAUUCUGGCACCAGGAGGAGGCUGGAGCAGGUGGACUUUUGAAAGAGAUGAGGUCUGCACCCAGCCAGCCAAGUGAAAUAGCAGGGGAGAUGAUCCUGCGGAAGAAGCAGCUAGAGCACAGACAUGGCAUCACGAGAUGUGCAGCCUUCUCUGGAACUGCAUGGAAAUUUGUUCAAUAGGGAGUUCUUGGUGACCAAGUGAUGGAGGAAGAGAACACUCAGGCCUAAUCUGCACGUGGUUCUGCACUACAGGCAGACACUACUCAAAAGGGCACAGCUAAGAUCAAAAUGGACAGAGGAUGCACAAAAUCCCCACUCUGAGGUGGUGUUGAAGAACAAGGGUGAAGGGAAACCCUCUACAUACACAGAAUUUUGAGCACUGCACCUGGUUGUCCAUUUUGCUUGGAAGGAGAGAUAUAUAGAAGUACAAGUCUAUACUGAUUCAUGGGUCAUGGCUAACACUUGGCUGGAAAGUCAGGAGAUUUGAAAGGAAUGUGAUUGAAAAAUCGGUGACAAAGAGAUCUGGAAGGAAAGGUUGACAGAUCUCUUCAAAUGGGUAUGGCAUGUGUAGGUAUUUAUGUUCUAUGAAAAUGCUCUCCAAAGAGUGAACUCAACAGAGGAGUAUUUGAAUAAUCAAGUGGAAAGGAUAAGCCUUUCUGUGGACAUGAGUCAGCCUGGUUCUCCAGCAAUUACUGUCAUUUCCCAAGUGGCUCGUGAAUAAAUUGGCCACGGAGGCCAAGAUGAAAGUUACGCAGGGGCACGGCAACAUAGAUGUCUACUUCCCAGGGCCCACCUGGCUAUGGCCACUGCAGAGAGCCCAGUCUGCUAGCAGCAGAGGUCAACGGUGAAUACCUGACACAGCACCAUUCCCAGCUACUGACUAACCACCUAUUGGCAGGGUGAUUAUUACAUUAAAUCACUUCUCUCGUUGAAGGAGCAGUGCUUUGUUCUUAUUGGAAUAGACAUUGACUUUGGAUACACACUUGCUUUCCCUGCCCACAAUGCUUCGCCAAAACCACUACGAAAACCAUACACAGAAUGAUUUAUGCACUAUCACGAUAUUUCACACAGCAUCACUUCUGAUCAAGAAACUUACUUCCAAGCAAAUGAAGUGCAGCAAUUGCUUCAUAUUGUUCACAGGUCUUAUCAUGUUCAUCAUCACCCCAAAGUAGGUGGCUUGACAGAAUGAUGGAAUAACGUUUUGAAGACUCAGUUAUGUCCCUAUGACAUUAGGUUCUACUGGCCUGGAGGUCUUAGUUCCAAAGGGAAGAGUGUGUCCACCAGGGCACCCACUGAUGACUCUGUUGAACUGGAGUGCCCCCUUUAACUCAUGCCAUUGAAUCAACAGGCAAAGAAGGGAGUGAUUGAACCUGAUUGGCUUCUACACAAAGAGCAGCUGGGCCUGUAACUGCUUUGCCUCCCCCUGGAUUCUCCUCCAGCUCCUCCAACUCCUGGGCCAGGAAAUUCAUGGUCACCGUUUUUCCUCAGCAUGUCGUACUCCCAGUUAUAUAGUUCUUAUAUGUACGAACCACCCAGCAAGCCUUUGAAAAGAGAAAGAGGAAAGAGAAGAAAAUUCUAAUUCAACUCUCCAUAUAGCUAAACAGCUAUCCAACAGACCUAGGUGAAGUCUUCGGCUCUCUGAUUUCCCCGAAGCCAGUGCGCUGGGUCAUGGGGCUGGCUGACCUCCCAGCACCACCUACCUCCUCUCUAUGAGAUGCCAUCAGAUCCCACCCAAAGGAGCCAGUCGUCCCUGUGAAACAAUAAGCAAUUCUUACGAGAUACAAGUGGAGCUCUGUUACUGUGGCACAGGAAGGCUCGAUAAGAUCUUCCAGCCACAGCAUUCUUUUGUGUCAGCAGACGCAAGUGGGAUGUUCCUUCUGCAGCUCUUACGGAGCAAGAGGAAGCAGGCUUUGAAACACAAUGUUCAUUGAAAUCGGCUUUCAUCUAAGGAAUCCCAUGGUGGCUCCUGGUCCACGCGAUGUGCAUUCUGUCUGCAGCUGGGCUCUCCUGAUGCAUUUCCGUUGUUUGUUCUAGGGGGAAGGCAGCACCUUUAUGAGACUCACUCUUACUAGGUAAAGGGCAUCACAUUGUGCUAGGCAGAGCAUUCUGUGUCAGGAUGUCUCCAGUGAGUCUGGAGCCUAGAAGGAACAUUUAAAAAAAAAAAAAAAAAAAAACAAUCCUCAGCCAUCCUGGCUCACGGAUGAAGCACUAGCUCUGUCAGGAGAGGAACAUGAAGCCGCCCAGAUGACUCUUGGGCAGUACAUGCAUGCUUGGUGAUUUUAGGAGAAGGAAAUGUUUGUUGCUUUAGCUAUUACAGCAGGCACGAUGCCACAGGCCAUAAAUAGUGGUAAGUAACUAUGGUUUGAGUGCUGCAGGCCCAAAAGAACCUUCCCCAAAGCCAAUUGGUCUCUAUUAUUCCAAUUCUGGCUCUCAAAGGACAAAAAAUGAAGAGGAGGAAGUGAUCCACAGUGUCAAAUCAUAGGUAAGAAGUUUCUCCAUUCUGCUGUCCUAGUGGAAUAACAAUUCAUCUUCUUUUCAGGGAAAACUAUUUUGGAUUCAAUAAAGAGUCUCU